RNAcentral lists this ribosomal RNA (265 nucleotides) under uncultured bacterium. RNAcentral's name for it is "partial 16S ribosomal RNA". It matches the Rfam family "Bacterial small subunit ribosomal RNA", at positions 29 to 311 of the family's 1533-position model. The record is from RNAcentral.
AAUGAACGUUGGCGGCGUGGAUUAGGCAUGCAAGUCGCGCGAGAAGCGUAGCAAUACGUGGAAAGCGGCGUAAGGGAGAGUAAUCCAUGGUUAGCUACCCUCGGGACUGGGAUAGCGGCGGGAAACUGCCGGUAAUACCAGAUGACAUCUUCGGAUCAAAGGUGUGAAUCCGCCCGGGGAGGCGACCAUGUCCUAUCAGCUUGUUGGCGGGGUAACGGCCCACCAAGGCAAAACGGGUAUGGGGCGUGAGAGCGUGCCCCCACCU